This 423-nucleotide ribosomal RNA is filed under the name uncultured archaeon. Its description in RNAcentral is "bacterial SSU rRNA". It matches the Rfam family "Archaeal small subunit ribosomal RNA", at positions 458 to 880 of the family's 1478-position model. The record is from RNAcentral.
UCAGCCGCCGCGGUAAUACCAGCAGCCCAAGUGGUGGUCGCGUUUAUUGGGCCUAAAGCGCUCGUAGCCUGGCCGGUAAGUUCCCCGUGAAAUCGGGUCGCCCAACGAUUCGGCUUGCGGGGAAUACUGUCGGUCUUGGGGCCGGGAGACGCCGAGGGUACUCCGGGGGUAGCGGUGAAAUGCUGUAAUCCUCGGGGGACUACCAGUGGCGAAGGCGCUCGGCGAUAACGGGCCUGACGGUGAGGGGCGAAAGCUGGGGGCGCGAACGAGAUUAGACACCCCGGUAGUCCCAGCCGUAAAGGAUGCGGGCAAGGUGCUCGUCGCUCUUCGAGGGCGCCGGGUGCCGUAGAGAAGUCGUUAAGCCCGCCGCCUGGGAAGUACGGUCGCAAGGCUGAAACUUAAAGGAAUUGGCGGGGGAGCACA